UACGAACCGUCCAAACGUUACUCGGAAUCACUGGGCUUAAAGGGUGCGUAGGUGGCGCUGUAAGUCGGGUGUGAAAUUUCGGAGCUUAACUCCGAAACUGCAUUCGAUACUGCGGUGCUUGAGGACUGGAGAGGAGACUGGAAUUCAUGGUGUAGCAGUGAAAUGCGUAGAGAUCAUGAGGAAGACCAGUGGCGAAGGCGGGUCUCUGGACAGUUCCUGACACUGAGGCACGAAGGCCAGGGGAGCAAACGGG
This 253-nucleotide ribosomal RNA is filed under the name uncultured bacterium. RNAcentral's name for it is "partial 16S ribosomal RNA". It matches the Rfam family "Bacterial small subunit ribosomal RNA", at positions 524 to 776 of the family's 1533-position model. The record is from RNAcentral.